This 235-nucleotide ribosomal RNA is filed under the name uncultured bacterium. RNAcentral describes it as "partial 16S ribosomal RNA". It matches the Rfam family "Bacterial small subunit ribosomal RNA", at positions 104 to 334 of the family's 1533-position model. The record is from RNAcentral.
CGGGGUGGAGUAACGUGUGGGCAACCUGCCCUAUACUGGGGAAUAAUCACUGGAAACGGUGACUAAUACCGCAUGUCAUUACGGAAGGGCAUCCUUCUGUAAGAAAAGGAGUAAUUCGGUAUAGGAUGGGCCCGCAUCUGAUUAGCUAGUUGGUGAGAUAACAGCCCACCAAGGCGACGAUCAGUAGCCGACCUGAGAGGGUGAUCGGCCACAUUGGGACUGAGACACGGCCCAA